RNAcentral lists this long non-coding RNA (294 nucleotides) under Trifolium pratense (red clover). RNAcentral's name for it is "long non-coding RNA (TPRA_LNC010181)". The record is from RNAcentral. Lineage: Eukaryota; Viridiplantae; Streptophyta; Magnoliopsida; Fabales; Fabaceae.
ACAUGAUUUCUCAACUGAUGAUGAUUAUAUAUGCUUAUUUACACACAGUCCAUAAUUAUUGGCUAAUACUAAUCUUGUAAGUAUAAUUCUUAUAAUAACAACAUAGUGUUACCGAACCAUAUUCCAAAACAUAAUAGCACUAGAUGUAUCGUCAACUGAAUUGAAUGUGAUAAAACCAAAUCCUCUCAAUCCACCAAAUAGUUCCAGCAAUGGAUAUCACUGCCAUUCCAUGAUUGAUCUGUGAUUUCUCGUCAAAAAACAAUUUGACUCUAACCAAACAUGAUGUUGCACAAU